RNAcentral lists this ribosomal RNA (406 nucleotides) under uncultured bacterium. Its description in RNAcentral is "partial 16S ribosomal RNA". It matches the Rfam family "Bacterial small subunit ribosomal RNA", at positions 29 to 526 of the family's 1533-position model. The record is from RNAcentral.
AUUGAACGCUGGCGGCAGGCCUAACACAUGCAAGUCGAACGAGUGGCGGACGGGUGAGUAAUGUCUGGGAAACUGCCUGAUGGAGGGGGAUAACUACUGGAAACGGUAGCUAAUACCGCAUACCAUCGGAUGUUCCCAGAUGGGAUUAGCUAGUAGGUGGGGUAAGGGCUCACCUAGGCGAAGAUCCCUAGCUGGGCUGAGAGGAGGACCAGCCACACGGGAACGGAGAAACGGUCCAGACUCCUACGAGAGGCAGCAGUGGGGAAUAUUGCACAAUGGGCGCAAGCCUGAUGCAGCCAUGCCGCGUGUAUGAAGAAGGCCUUCGGGUUGUAAAGUACUUUCAGCGGGGAGGCGUUACCCGCAGAAGAAGCACCGGCUAACUCCGUGCCAGCAGCCGCGGUAAUAC